GCCACCUCCCAGUUUGCGCGAGUUACUGGUGAAGAUGGAGUAAUGCUCAAAGUCUGGCGAAGGGUGUAUCACCUAAACGUUGGACCGUUCAGAAACUUCGCCCUGUCUUGCUUGGACAUCCAGAUAUACUCUACAGGGGGCACCGAGUCGAGUUGUGAGCAAAAGAAAUCUCGGGAAUUGGGAGGGCCAACAGGCAAGCAAGUUCUCCCACCCAUGGAGUCCAGCAAGUUGGAAGGUCGGUCAAAAAAGAUUCCCAGGGACCAGUUCCCAGUCCAGGUCACCUGUUACAGGCUUCUGCACAGCGGUGUGAGAGCUGGCAAAGAAAUGAAUGGAACUGGAAGUCGGGUGGAUGCCAUCUGGCCCUGGCCACGUGUUCACUUUUAAACUUUCAAGACAGUUUGGAACAUCUUCUCUCGUCACCUCAGAUCGGCCCAAUUCUUCAGCCUCCACAGUCAGUUCAGGCACAGAGGGAGACUCCAGUGGAGAGGUGUUCCGGGAUGCCAGCAGCCGGAUGCGAAGUGUGCUGCUGCGGCUGGUAGGCUCAGCAGAGGAUCCCUGCAGGAGAGGCGCUCUUCCGGACACGGGAUGGAGCGGAGGCUCAGCAGACCCCCUUGCCUGAGGUGCCACAGGCAACAGAGUGCCAAGGUUCUGCAGAGCGAGAGGCGUCUGAACUUGCCAAUUUUGUAUAUAUGCCCAGAAUUGCAUAUUCACCCAUACUGGAUGCAUUGAUGUUCUCUCCCUUGCAGCUAAAAAGAAAUCAGAGGGGGAGGGUCUUGUUGGUGGUGGCACCCUCUUCAUGAGGCUCACCAGUCCUUUGACAUGGCCGCUGGAGGCCCUUAUUGUUCACCCAGGUGUUUCAAAAUUGUGUUUACACUUGAUCUUAGCCAAAAGGCCGCGAAGAUUCGAAUGUAUUGUGUUUGUCUUUUUGGUUGUACUGUUCUGUGAUUCUCUUGUCAAGCUGCCCAGAGACCAAUUAUGUGGCAGCCACUAAAGCAUUUGUUAUAAUCUGUGUAUUUACUGCUUCAGUAAAAGUAUUUCAAGACUUGGAUUUGUGUGCUUCGAACAUUAAAAGUGUUGAGAGUAUA
Hemicordylus capensis (graceful crag lizard) is the source of this 1085-nucleotide long non-coding RNA. RefSeq lists it as uncharacterized. NCBI's taxonomy places the organism in Eukaryota, Metazoa, Chordata, Lepidosauria, Squamata, Cordylidae. The record is from RefSeq and is a predicted model, not a curated record. The transcript has 4 exons.